This 484-nucleotide ribosomal RNA is filed under the name uncultured bacterium. Its description in RNAcentral is "partial 16S ribosomal RNA". It matches the Rfam family "Bacterial small subunit ribosomal RNA", at positions 30 to 507 of the family's 1533-position model. The record is from RNAcentral.
AUUGAACGCUGGCGGCAGGCCUAACACAUGCAAGUCGAGCGGACGAAGGGAGCUUGCUCCUGGAUUCAGCGGCGGACGGGUGAGUAAUGCCUAGGAAUCUGCCUGGUAGUGGGGGAUAACGUCCGGAAACGGGCGCUAAUACCGCAUACGUCCUGAGGGAGAAAGUGGGGGAUCUUCGGACCUCACGCUAUCAGAUGAGCCUAGGUCGGAUUAGCUAGUUGGUGGGGUAAAGGCCUACCAAGGCGACGAUCCGUAACUGGUCUGAGAGGAUGAUCAGUCACACUGGAACUGAGACACGGUCCAGACUCCUACGGGAGGCAGCAGUGGGGAAUAUUGGACAAUGGGCGAAAACCUGAUCCAGCCAUGCCGCGUGUGUGAAGAAGGUCUUCGGAUUGUAAAGCACUUUAAGUUGGGAGGAAGGGCAGUAAGUUAAUACCUUGCUGUUUUGACGUUACCAACAGAAUAAGCACCGGCUAACUUCGUG